This 452-nucleotide ribosomal RNA is filed under the name uncultured bacterium. Its description in RNAcentral is "bacterial SSU rRNA". It matches the Rfam family "Bacterial small subunit ribosomal RNA", at positions 340 to 786 of the family's 1533-position model. The record is from RNAcentral.
UACGGAAGGCAGCAGUGGGGAAUAUUGCACAAUGGGCGCAAGCCUGAUGCAGCCGUGCCGCGUGUAUGAAGAAGGCCUUCGGGUUGUAAAGUACUUUCAGUCGUGAGGAAGGUGUUAAGGUUAAUAACCUUAGCAAUUGACGUUAGCGACAGAAGAAGCACCGGCUAACUCCGUGCCAGCAGCCGCGGUAAUACGGAGGGUGCGAGCGUUAAUCGGAAUUACUGGGCGUAAAGGGCACGCAGGCGGUUAAUUAAGUUGGAUGUGAAAUCCCCGGGCUUAACCUGGGAAUGGCAUUCAAGACUGGUUAGCUAGAGUCUUGUAGAGGGGGUAGAAUUCCAUGUGUAGCGGUGAAAUGCGUAGAGAUGUGGAGGAUACCGGUGGCGAAGGCGGCCCCUGGACAAAGAUUGACGCUCAUGUGCGAAAGCGUGGGGAGCAAACAGGGAUUAGAUACC